Molecule: long non-coding RNA, 40690 nt
Filed under: Jatropha curcas
Lineage: Eukaryota; Viridiplantae; Streptophyta; Magnoliopsida; Malpighiales; Euphorbiaceae
Description: long non-coding RNA (JCUR_LNC001462)
Source: RNAcentral
ACGUAUAUAUCAAAUGAGAAUAAUUUAAAUCUUAAAAUUCAACUAACAUUCUGUAAAAAUAAAUUUCAAAAAGCGACAUUCACUACAAUUUUCCUAAUUAGAAUAGUGCCAAGAGGGCCUUUUGGGCCUAACACCCAUAAAAUGCAAAGUCGAUUUGCAAUAAUUCAUCUAUAUUCAUUCAUUUGAUGACAUUAUUAAUACAAGCCUCCGUAGAUAUUGAAGGAAAUUUUUAUUACAUUAUAAUUGAAAUCAUUCCAUGAUUUAUUUGGAGAUAGAGUAAAACUGCAUAGCCCUAGGUAAUAAUAGGAACUCGAACGACCACACCACAUUCAUUAACCCAAACCCAGACCCUGUCGCACCUAAAGUCCCUAGGGCCGUAACACUAUUGACGACCUACAACUGCGACAACAAUAAUGGUAAAUACAAUAAAUAUGGUAUAUAUGAUGUAUAUAUAUACUGUGUUAAUAAAUACGGUAUAUAUAUACACACAUACACAUUGUUUCGGUAAAUACUGUAAAAUCGAUAUAUAUAUAUAUACACACACACGCCUAUUAAACCAAGUAAAUACAAUGUAUAUAUAUACUGUAUCAGUAAAUACUGUAAAAUCAAUUAAAUACAGAAUAAAUGUAUGUACAUCAAUUAACACAUUGGAUCAAACCAAGUAAAUACUGUAUAUCAAAUCAAAUAAAUACAUCGUAUACAUAUAUACUGUAUCGUAACAAUCCAAAAGAAUCGAGAGUCAUACCUUAUCUCUGUAGUAGUUACUGAUUGUAUACAAAAUUGAUAGAGAUAUUCUCAAUAAUAAACAACAGAUCAAAAACAGAAAUCAGCAUAACUUAUGAGUAAAAAACGAUACCAUGGAACAACACCAAUAAUGAGAAGAACUAUAGCAAAAGGAGAAAGAACGAUAAGAAAAUAAUGGACGGCAACAAAAGGAGAAAGAAUCAUUAGAAAAUAAUAAGGGAUGAAAAAAAGGCAAAAGAAAAAUAUUAUUAAUAUACUAAAAAAAAGGAAACAACGGUGAAGAUAGGAAAUUAAUACGGAAGGAAACACUAACAUAUUAAAACACUAAAAUAGGAAAUUAAUAUAAAAGAAAACUCUAAUAUAUUAAAACACUGAAAUACUAAUAAAUGAAUGCCCUAACAAUAAAAAAAAGGCACAAUAGUAAACGUAUAUAUCAAAUGAGAAUAAUUUAAAUCUUAAAAUUCAACUAACAUUCUGUAAAAAUAAAUUUCAAAAAGCGACAUUCACUACAAUUUUCCUAAUUAGAAUAGUGCCAAGAGGGCCUUUUGGGCCUAACACCCAUAAAAUGCAAAGUCGAUUUGCAAUAAUUCAUCUAUAUUCAUUCAUUUGAUGACAUUAUUAAUACAAGCCUCCGUAGAUAUUGAAGGAAAUUUUUAUUACAUUAUAAUUGAAAUCAUUCCAUGAUUUAUUUGGAGAUAGAGUAAAACUGCAUAGCCCUAGGUAAUAAUAGGAACUCGAACGACCACACCACAUUCAUUAACCCAAACCCAGACCCUGUCGCACCUAAAGUCCCUAGUCACUGGAGUUCCUUCCUUCAACACAAUUGCAUUCACAUGUUUGUUCUCUUUCUCUAUGAGAGCUGCAGCAGCUUUUCCAUUCGCCCCAAGAAGCUCCGGCCAUGAGCUCUUACCUGUAAAUUUGCAAUUUUCAUGUUAAGUUUAAUGCCAUAUACAAGAUCAAAGUUAAAAACAAAGAAGCCCCAGUAAAAUUAAUUACCUGGACAUUCAGAAGCCAUUGUCUUUCCUUUAUUGAUAUCUUCCUCUCUCCCUUCUCACUAAGUUAGAUGUAAACUACACAUAAUGGUGGAUUUAUAUAGAAGUAUUUCAAGUUUUAAUAGCAGACUGUUUGCCUGGAUGGAGUAGGAAAAGCAAAGGAAAAAAAAAAAGGAAAUGGUUUAAACGUGGGCUGCUAAUUUAAUUGAUUUUGAAAUUAAAAAAAAAAAAAAAAAAAAAAAGCAAACAAAAUGGAUUUUUGAACUAACAAACAAAAUUUUUUAUAAUAUCAUCCCUACAAGAGGAUAAGCAUGGUAAAUACAUUAAGAUGAGAAAUUUGUCUUCAACUUAAACGUCACAAUCUCAAUUACAUUUGAAAUUUUGCAUGUGACAGAUUUUAUAAAAGUCAUUAAUAUACAAACAAACUAGAGAAAUUUUGUAAGGACAAGGACAUCUCGUGGGGCCAAAUUAACUGCUUGGAUAAACGUGCACGUAUUCAAUAUAUCAAAAGAUAAGUGUUUCAACACGCACUCCCUUGCCAAGUUGGGAUAAUUGCUUAUCUAAACAUUGCAUGCAUGUGAGUGUAUUACAUUUGCACGAAUCCAAUCAACAAGCAUUUCAUUAUGCUUUUUUUCUCAUCGAAUUUUAUUUAGUUAAUAGGAACUAGCGUUGAACCCCGCGCGAUGCACGGAGAAAUGUUAAAAGAUAAAAUAUUUUUUUAUAAUAUUAACAAAAAAAAAUAAAAUUAUAUACUAAAAUAAUUGUAAAUUACAUUAUAAAAUUAUAUCUCAUUGAGAUAUACUAAAAAAAAAGUUACAAUGCUAAUAUGUGUCUUUUUAAUAUUCUGUGAAGUCUUUUGCUAGAGUAUGCAUGUCACGACCCAUUUCCGUGGGCCGGACCGGCACUAGGGCCCAGGUAAGCUUAAGGCCCCCGAGGCCCGUAGUAAGCCUGAAACACUAAAAAUUUACUAUCUCAAUAUAAUAUUAAACAUUUAGUCCAUAUGAUUAUGAAAAAUAAACCUCAAGAUUUUAUUAAAUCUCGGCCCGAAUUUAUCGGCUACAACAUUCCACAGUUCGGGCCUAAUUAACAAUGCAUCACAUUUAUAAUAUGGGUUCACAUAAUUAUCUCAUCUAUAAUAAUAAACGAUUAAAAGUAUACAAAUCCUACAACUGCGGAGUCACUAACUGUUAGUAUACAUAGCAAAGCAAUUAUGGAACUAGGAAAAAUUCUUUAUUGCCCUACGCCGAAGAAACAUAGCCNNNNNNNNNNNNNNNNNNNNNNNNNNNNNNNNNNNNNNNNNNNNNNNNNNNNNNNNNNNNNNNNNNNNNNNNNNNNNNNNNNNNNNNNNNNNNNNNNNNNNNNNNNNNNNNNNNNNNNNNNNNNNNNNNNNNNNNNNNNNNNNNNNNNNNNNNNNNNNNNNNNNNNNNNNNNNNNNNNNNNNNNNNNNNNNNNNNNNNNNNNNNNNNNNNNNNNNNNNNNNNNNNNNNNNNNNNNNNNNNNNNNNNNNNNNNNNNNNNNNNNNNNNNNNNNNNNNNNNNNNNNNNNNNNNNNNNNNNNNNNNNNNNNNNNNNNNNNNNNNNNNNNNNNNNNNNNNNNNNNNNNNNNNNNNNNNNNNNNNNNNNNNNNNNNNNNNNNNNNNNNNNNNNNNNNNNNNNNNNNNNNNNNNNNNNNNNNNNNNNNNNNNNNNNNNNNNNNNNNNNNNNNNNNNNNNNNNNNNNNNNNNNNNNNNNNNNNNNNNNNNNNNNNNNNNNNNNNNNNNNNNNNNNNNNNNNNNNNNNNNNNNNNNNNNNNNNNNNNNNNNNNNNNNNNNNNNNNNNNNNNNNNNNNNNNNNNNNNNNNNNNNNNNNNNNNNNNNNNNNNNNNNNNNNNNNNNNNNNNNNNNNNNNNNNNNNNNNNNNNNNNNNNNNNNNNNNNNNNNNNNNNNNNNNNNNNNNNNNNNNNNNNNNNNNNNNNNNNNNNNNNNNNNNNNNNNNNNNNNNNNNNNNNNNNNNNNNNNNNNNNNNNNNNNNNNNNNNNNNNNNNNNNNNNNNNNNNNNNNNNNNNNNNNNNNNNNNNNNNNNNNNNNNNNNNNNNNNNNNNNNNNNNNNNNNNNNNNNNNNNNNNNNNNNNNNNNNNNNNNNNNNNNNNNNNNNNNNNNNNNNNNNNNNNNNNNNNNNNNNNNNNNNNNNNNNNNNNNNNNNNNNNNNNNNNNNNNNNNNNNNNNNNNNNNNNNNNNNNNNNNNNNNNNNNNNNNNNNNNNNNNNNNNNNNNNNNNNNNNNNNNNNNNNNNNNNNNNNNNNNNNNNNNNNNNNNNNNNNNNNNNNNNNNNNNNNNNNNNNNNNNNNNNNNNNNNNNNNNNNNNNNNNNNNNNNNNNNNNNNNNNNNNNNNNNNNNNNNNNNNNNNNNNNNNNNNNNNNNNNNNNNNNNNNNNNNNNNNNNNNNNNNNNNNNNNNNNNNNNNNNNNNNNNNNNNNNNNNNNNNNNNNNNNNNNNNNNNNNNNNNNNNNNNNNNNNNNNNNNNNNNNNNNNNNNNNNNNNNNNNNNNNNNNNNNNNNNNNNNNNNNNNNNNNNNNNNNNNNNNNNNNNNNNNNNNNNNNNNNNNNNNNNNNNNNNNNNNNNNNNNNNNNNNNNNNNNNNNNNNNNNNNNNNNNNNNNNNNNNNNNNNNNNNNNNNNNNNNNNNNNNNNNNNNNNNNNNNNNNNNNNNNNNNNNNNNNNNNNNNNNNNNNNNNNNNNNNNNNNNNNNNNNNNNNNNNNNNNNNNNNNNNNNNNNNNNNNNNNNNNNNNNNNNNNNNNNNNNNNNNNNNNNNNNNNNNNNNNNNNNNNNNNNNNNNNNNNNNNNNNNNNNNNNNNNNNNNNNNNNNNNNNNNNNNNNNNNNNNNNNNNNNNNNNNNNNNNNNNNNNNNAAGAAGAAGAAGAAGAAGAAGAAGAAGAAGAAGAAGAAGAAGAAGAAGAAGAAGAAGAAGAAGAAGAAGAAGAAGAAGAAGAAGAAGAAGAAGAAGAAGAAGAAGAAGAAGAAGAAGAAGAAGAAGAAGAAGAAGAAGAAGAAGAAGAAGAAGAAGAAGAAGAAGAAGAAGAAGAAGAAGAAGAAGAAGAAGAAGAAGAAGAAGAGAGGAGGAGGAGACGGCGGUGGCAGUGUCGGUGGUGCUGUGUGGGUGGUCAGGAGGCGCAAGACUGACUUAGUGAGGGAGAUUAGCGUUGAAGAUAAAAGGGGAGGAGAUGUUUCUAGAUGGUUUGGGCUGGUUCGGUUCGAUUCGGGUUCGAAUCAGCCCAAAUCUUCGAUUUCCAACUGGUUUUCUGCUUUUUCAAUUGGUUUUCGGUUCGAUUCCUCACAGUAUUCGCACUAAAAUAUUAAUAUAAAUUUCCAGGCUGUCGAUUUAUUAAAUUUAAAUGAAAAAAUCUUUGAAAAUAAAAAUUCGGGUUAUUUCAAUGCAAUAGCAAAAAUCAUGCAUAGGUUGACCCAAGGGUGUUAAAAUGGGUUGAUGUGUCAGAUUCGACACGAAUUCGCUUAACACGCAACACGAUUAGGAUUAAUACGAACACGAUCAAUUUACUAAUUAUGUUAAAUUUAUUAACACAAACACGACACGAAAAUUAGGCAAGUGAUAUGAAUACGACAGAUUUAACCACCUAAUAUCAUAAAUAGGUUAAAUGGGUCGUGUUUAUCCAUAUAAAACUCGUGUAACCUGCUUAAUAUCAUAAACAGAUUAAGUGAGUCGUGUUGACUUGUAUACGACCCACUUAACCUACUUAUAAUAUUUUUAAAUUUUAAUCUAUUUGACUCCAAUCAUAUUUAAAAAUAAAUUUUUACAAAUAAAAUGCAUAAACUCUUCAAGAUUCAUAACUAAAACAAAAAAGUAUACAAUAAUAAAAUUUAAAUAGCCAGUUGGAGUAUUUAUAUCUAGUACUAAAAUUACCUCUUUAAUCUUAAAUCAACGGGUUACUCAUCUAACUCGCGUGUCAACCCGUGACACAACACGUUUAUAUUCGUGUCAUAAAUGGGUGACUUGUUUAUGACAUAAACCCGUUUAACCUUAACCCUAACUCAUUUAUUUCGUGUGUUAGGCGAAUUGUGUUCUUGUGUCUUGACCAUUUUGACACCCCUAGUAUGGCCUGCAUAAAAAAAUGCAUACACUAUUAUUGUAUUAUCAAUAGUGAUAAUUAUUUUGAGAAUUUAACUAAUUAUAUUGAAAUAAGAAAUUAAGAAUUUUUUUUUAUGUUUAUGAUUUAUUAUAAAUGAUUGUUUAUUAUUUGAAAUAUUAAUGUAUUAUACUUAUUUAGUGUACGUAGUGUGUCCUAAACGUGUAAAUGUGCUACUUUUUUAAAAAUUAUCGUAUCGCGUAUGAUCCCGUAUCUCGUGUCCCAUGUCCGUGCAAUCUAGCUCCUCAUAUAUGAAACUACUCCAUACACCAAUCUAAUCAUUGAGAUUUUUUUAUUUCCAAGAAAAAAAGGAAAUGUUUUUUAAUUUAUUUUUGUGUUUUUUUUAUUAAUGAAUUAUCAGAAAAAAUAAGAAGGAAAUAAAUUUUUUUUCGAAAAAAUCUUAUGUUACUUUUUUUUUUUUGAUAUAAAAGAAAAAUAAAAUUAAUAGAGGAAAGAAAACACAGAGUAAAGAGUUGGAAGUAUAAGCUAAUUCUUCCAAUGAUCAAUUUUCAUCAAAGGGUAAUUAUAAACGGGAGGGAGAGUUUAUUGAAUUAAAAAACUCAUGAACGGAAAAAAAAAAAAAUUAGGCCUGGCUAAUUCGAUGAAUACUGACAUUUUUCGAAACUAAAUUUAAGAAAAAAUAAAAAGGAACUAAAUUUUUUUUCAAAAACAAAAACCUUAUGUUACUUAUUCUUUUGUAUAUACAAGAAAAAUAAAAUUAAUUUUUCUCUACAAAUUUAUUUUUAUAGUAUUUUUAUUUUCCUUCUAAUUUGAAGAGAAAAUUAUCAGAAUUAUUUUCUCUUAUAUUCCUUUCUCAUUUCCAAACAAAAUAAUUUUUGCUUAUUAAUAUUAGUUUUGUUUUGUUUUCUUUUUUCUUCCUAUAUGACAUUAUCUAAAAAUAUAAAACAACUUAUCUUCUUACAAUUGAUGUAAUAACAACUUUUCUUCUUACAAUUAUGAUAAAUGACUGCUCUCCUUACACUUGACAAUUUGAGAGACUUAUACUUAGCUAUGGCUGAGCAAACAGUCGAUUCGGUUCAAAUCGAAUUGAACCAAAGCCACAAAAUAUAAACCUAAGUUUAUUUACAAUAAAUCGAACUGGACCGAAAUUUGUAUAUGCACUGAACCAACCGAAUCGAACUAGUCGGUUCGGUCUAUUUUUGUUGAUUUUUACUAUUUCAGUUCAGUUCUAAGCCCAACAGCCGAAUAUUUAUGUAACCGAACUGAAUCGAGCAAUAAAUUCGAUCCAUACCGAAUGAACUGACCAACCAAACCUCUCUUGGGCAUCAGACAGAAUCGAACCGAAAUGAAUCAGUUCUGUUUUCGGUUUCGUUCUAUCGAUAAUUUUGCUCACCCCCUACACUUGGCUGUUUUUUAAAAUAGACUUCUCUUUAGGCUUGGCCAGUUCGUUGAUUACUGACAUUUUUUCGAUACUAAUUUAAGAAAAAAUAAGAAGAAACUAAAUUUUUUUUUUCGAAAAGAACUCAUGUUACUUAUUUUUUUGAUAUAAAAGAAAAAUAAAAUUAAUUUUUCUCUAUAAAUUUAUUUUAAUAGUUUUUUAUUUUAUUUCUAAUUUGAAGAGAAAAUUAUCAAAAUUCUUUUUUCUUAUAUUCCUUUCUUAUUUCCAAAUAAAAUAUUUUUUGUUUAUUAAUAUUAAUUUAGUUUUCUUUUCUUUUUUCUCUUAUAUAACAUUAUCUAAAAAUAUAAAAAAAUUUAUUUUCUUACAAUUAUGCUAAAUAACGACUCUCCUUAUAUUUAGUAAUUUUAGAGACUGAUACUUGAUUAUAAUUUAAGAUAGACUUUUCUUUAGGGCUGGCCAAUUAGUUGAAUACUGAUAUUUUUUGGAACUAAAUUUAAGAAAAAAUAAGGAACUAAUUUUUUUUUUCGAAAAAAACUUAUGUUAGUUUUUUGGAUAUAAAAGAAAAAUAAAAUUAAUUUUUCCUACAAAUUAAUUUUUAUAAUUUUUUAUUUUCCUUCUAAUUUAAAAAGAAAAUUAUCGAAAUUCUUUUCCCUUAUACUUCUUUUUUAUUUCCAAUAAAAUAGUUUUUGCUCUGCUACGAGCUCUUACUUGUAAAUUUUCAAUUUUCAUGUAAGUUUGAUGUUAUACACAAAAUCAAGUUAGCUAAAAACAAAUUAGUAAAAUACUAAAUUGAUUAAUUACCAGGUGGACAUAAAUUAGCCAUUGUCUUUGCUCUAUUGGUAUCUUCCUCUCUCCUUUUCCAAUAAGUUUGAUGAGAACUACAGAAAUGGUGGAUUGAUACAGAAGCUUUCAAAUUUUUAGCGGCAGAGUUUUGGCCCAUUUAGAAUAGGAAAAGGACAAACAAAUUGUUUUAAAACGUGCGCUGCUAAGAAUAAAACGUGGCCGCAAAAUAAUUGCCUAAUAGUUGUCGUAUCUAUAAAUGUUUGAAUCCAAGUGAUAGAUAUAUUUUUUAAGCGACAAAUCGGAAAAAAUAUUUCAUAACUCCUUUAAUCUCUCAUCUAUGGCAUGCAUCGAGACACGUGUAUUAAAUCUUUGGCUACACACAUAACAUAAAUUUCACUCCAUAUUUUUUUACAAAAAUUUUAUACACUCUAAAUUUUUCCACAUUAACAAUAAUUUUUAAAAUUUUAAUUUUUAUAAAAUAUUAAUUUGAUAUAUAAUUAGUAUUACUUUUGAAAUAAUAAUUUUAAGUUUUUAAAUAUCUAAUAAAUAUAUAAUUGAUUUUAUUUUAUAAGUUUGAGGGUUUAAUAAAAGGAAUUUUUAAAUUGAAGUGUUUAAUAAGUAAAAUUAAAUACUUCAUUAAACUUUUCUUGAAAAGUACUGUAUCGAGUUUUUCUUCUACCAAUUUUUAUACUUCAAAUAUAAAAAAUAGCUGUUCAAAUGCAUUGUAUGUGAAAAUAGAAGAAAUUGUAAAACAUAUAAAAAUAAAAUAUAAACCAACAAUAAUGUGAAAACUAAAAAUGAAACAUUUAUAGUUUGAAAACUCUAAACUUUAGUUGUCAUUGUAUUGGAUUCUCAUUAACAAUUGAUUUUGAUUCCGUAUUUUCUAGUACUAAUCAAGAAAAAGAGGAGAAAUUAUGGGUGUACUAGAUUAGGAUUGUGUUAGAUUUUAAAAGAAUUAUAGAUUUUAAUGGAAUUAAAAGAUUUCUUAAAAUUUCCACAGAUUCAACUAGAAUUCUACAUAGAAUUUUAUGGAAUUGGUGGGACUUUUUUAAUAGAUUUUGAUUGACUUUGAUGGAAUUACAAUGAUUUUUACAUAUUCAAUUAAAUUUAAUUUUAGGACCUAAUUAAAUAAAUUAAAAGGUUUUUGAGCCUAAUUGAAAAAUUGAAAAACAAUGAGGGAUCAGAAAAGUAAAAUGCGACAUCCUCUCGAAAGUUGUUUUCUUCUUUGUUAAAAUCUUACCACCGCCGGCCAUCCGGCGCUCUCAGAACAGUUGUGAUGUGAGCAAAAGACCAUAGGCUUCUCGUCCCUUAACUGGACGACGAUCAUUUUCCUGGAAAGUAAUAGAUAUAUAUUAAUUUAAUAUUGAAAACUAGCAACCACGGCCCUCGCUAGCCAGGACCUACGUCGACUAUCGGAGUUCGUGCAAGGAGAAGGUGCACAUCAAUACAAGCCCAAUGCACGGCUCACCGUCUGUGGUUCACGGAGCCUGGCGGUCCGGCCACAACAACGACAAACUGUAUUAUUAGUUCUUCGACUAUUUUAAAGUUUUUCCAAUUUUUUUUAUUUGAUUAAAUUAAUAUCUAAUUGAUAUCAAAUUCUGGAAAAAUUAAUAAUCGAAAUAAUUCUGAAAAUUUUGCUCCAGCAUUAAUAUUAAUUUUUAUAAAAAUAUCAAAUUUUCAACACACAAUUAAUUGGAAAUUAAUUCAAUAAUUAAUAUAUUAUUUUACACCUUAAGGGGGUGUAUUUAGGGAUGGCAACGACUUGAUUACCCGCUUAAAAUGCACUAUCCAAAUCCAAUUAGAAAAUUAGGUACCCGAACCCGUCCAAAAUCUGAUUCUAAUUACCUGUUUAGCAUUAAAACUAUUUUUUAUUUUCAUUUUCUAAAAAUAAAAAAGUAAUAAAAUUAUAAAAUUAUUAUUUUCACUUAAUAAAAAUAUAAUAUAAAUAUUAAAUAUGAUUAUAUCAUUAGUUAUAAUUAAAAAGAUGUUUAUAUAUAAUUUUUUUUAAAAAUAUAAUUAUUUCAAAUAUUUUAAAAUAUUUAUUAAACAGGUAAUAGGUAAUAGAUACCUGAAUCCUUGAACCAGAGCCCGAUCCAAACUUGCUGCAGAUAGUGAAAAUACUAUCUGAAUUCGUACCAAACCUAUUUAUCCACUAUCCAAACCUGCUAAAAUCAAAUUAAAUUAGAUCGAGUACUCACCGGGUCGGGAAAAAUUAAUUGUCAUCCCUUGUGUAUUGAAUUAAUAACUCUGUUAGAUUUUAUAAGAUUUUUGAAAUCUUUGGAUUGAAGGAUGAAUUUGUGAAUGAGUAUUUUAUUUAUACCUAAUACUCUAAAAUCCAACAAAAUUAAUAAUUUUAUAGAAUCCUUCCAAAAUAGUAAUUUUCACUAUUAAUUAAAAUCCAAUGAUAUAAUGAAAAACUUUUAGUUAUGUAUGUUGUCAAAAAUUUAAUUUAACUAUAAUUAAAGUAAUGAUAAAAGGAAAAAAAAAUAUAAAUAUAAAAAUAAAUUACAUCUGAUAAAUAUAGGUAAAAUUAGAAAAAUAAUUUUGAAUAUACUUUCAAAAUCCUAAAUGAUCACUUAAAAUAAAACAAAGUAUAAAUGCUUAUUUGUUAUUAUUAAAGUGGAAGGGAGGAUGCCAAUAAUAUUGUUAUUCAAAACUGAAAGAAUUUAAAUAUUUAUCAGGGACUUAACAGUAAUUUAUAUAUUAGGCCUAAUUAUAUUUUAUAUAGAAUCAUAAUAGGAUUAAGAGAUCUCAUUUCUAUUUCUUCACGAACACUUAAUCGACGGUCCAUCUGUCACGCUCCGACUCUAAUCACCAGAGAAAUUGUCCGCUUUGGUGUAGUCCACGGACGCCCUACCCCGUCGUGUAGUCCCUGCACGCCCUACACCUCACGGUUUUAUCCCGCAGGUGAAAUGGGAAACUUCUCAGGAGGUCACCCAUCCUGAGAUUUCUAUUAAGCGAGCACGCUUAAUCCGACGAACCAUACAUCUACUGGAGGGGGUCCGGCUCUGAUACCAACUGUCACGCCCCGACUCUAAUCACCAGAGGAAUUGUCCGCUUUGGUGUUGUCCACGGACACCCUAUCUCGUCGUGUAAUCCCCACACGCCCUACACCUCACGAUUUUGUCCCGCAGGUAAAAUGAGAAACUUCCCAGGAGGUCACCCAUUCUGAGAUUUCUAUUAAGCGAGCACGCUUAACCCUGGAGUUCUUCCAACUCUCCCCCCAUUCCACCAAAAGGCGCCUCUAAUGACUAGUUGCCCUCUUUUCGAUAUAUAAUUCGAUUCAUUCCUGUGUCCCACAUUUCACUACCCAAGCUAGCCUGCCAUCCUAGAAGCUAGCCAGGAGCUUCGCUCUACCCGCCCUCUUAGGAUCGCUUUGCCGGGUCGGGAUGUCACACCAUCACUCCAAAAUACAUGUUCAAUUGGUAUUCCAAAUAUAUACCCAACAAGGAUUCUAACUAUAACUCUAAUCAAUGUCUUUCUACCUCUAUAUAAAGCGGAACAAACUCUCUACUUAAGGACGCAAGAUCUAUGCAAUAAGCAACAUAAUAUCUCGUUCAAUUACAGCUAUUUAUUGUUCUCUUACUGAUUUAAAUAUCAGAGUGAUUUUAGGCCUAAGAUCUCUCUUUUCUCUCCCUUUUUCGCUCAUAUCUUACAGAUUUCUACAUGGGCGCUAUAGAUGGAUUUUUCUAAAUCUAUCAAUAACCUAGCCCAUAUUGAAAGUAAAUUAGAGAGUUAAAAAAUGCUUAUAAACCUUACAAGCCAACUUGAAUAAGUUGAGUUGGUGGGAACCUAAAAUUUCAAAGGGAUAAAAUGUUUACUGUUGAAAUUAAAUAAUAUUUUUCAGAAAAUGAGUUAACUUUUAAAAUUUCAUUUUUUAUAAUUAUUAUAUAACAUUUCAUUUUUUAAAUUAAAUUCAAAUGUUAAGUGUUAUUACCUCUAUUCCAUAAUACUUGUUACAUUUGAGAAAAUAGUUUGUUUUAAAAUACGAGUAAUAAAUAUUUUUUUUCAUGUUUACCUUUUGUAUAUGACCAAUAACUAUUACUUCAAUUUAAUAGUUUUCUUACAUAAUAAGUAUUAAAUUAAGGGUAAUAUAGUCAAUUUAUUCAAUAAUUUAUUGUAAUUUAGAUAAAUUUAAUGAUUUUCUCAAGAGAUGUAAGAUUCCAAAUGUGACAAGUAUUAAGGUCUUAUAUUAGUCCAACAGUGAUAGUGGGGGAUACAUGUAAAGCAUAAUCUGAAUAGAGAAUACCAGAAUUUUGGUGGGUAUUGCCAAGAAAUUUAUAGGAGUUAGUCGGAUAUUAUAUGAAAAUUAUGCUGUUCAAUUUCAUCUUCCAAUUCAAAAAAUUUGCAGAAUCAUUUGAAAUGAUUUUCUAGAAGAAACAACCGUAACUCCAAGAUUAUGGAAGUAAAAUUUGUAUAAGUAAAAUUUGUGAGCUCCAAUACUAUCUUAGACUUUUCCAGAACACAAAAAUGUGCUUAAUUCAUAAAGAGCAAUCUGUAAAAUGAGUGAUGAUGAAGUUUAUAGAAUUAUCAAGAAGAAUCUGAAUGUUCAAUUACACAUUCAUAUUUUUUUUUUUUCUGUAAAAUAGUCAAAUCAUUUUGUGGGAGAGAAAUGACUAAAGAUGAGUAUAUAUUCAUUCGAUGACAUUAUUAAUACAAGUCUUUGUAGAUGUUGAAGGAAAUUUUUAUUUCAUUAUAAUUUAAAAUCUCUCCAUGAUUUAUUUGGAGAUGGAGUAAAACUGCAUAGCCGUAGGUAAUAAUAGCAACUUUAACAAUAACACCAUAUUCAUAACCCAAACCCAGACCCUGUCACACCUGAAGUCCCUAGUCACUGGAGUUCCUUCCUUUAACACAAUUGCAUUGCACAUUUUUGUUUUCUUUCUUUAUAAGAGCCGCAGCGGCUUCCCCAAUCUCUCCAAAAAGCUCUGGCCAUGAGCUUUUACCUGUAAAUUUUCAAUGAUCAUGUAAAUUUCAUGUCAUACAUAAAAACAAAGUUAAAAACAAGAAAACUCAGUAAAACUAAUUACCUAGAUAUCAACCUUUCCUCCAAGUUGGAUGAAAACGACAGAUAAUGGUGAAUUUAUAUAGAAGCUUUUAAAUUUGUCUUAACAAACAAAAUGGAUGUUUGAAAUAAGAAAUAAAAUUUUUUGUAAUAUCAACCCUACAAACUUUAAGGAUAAGCAUUGUAAAUACAACAAAAUAAGCGAUUUGUCUUAACUUAAACAUCACAAUCUCAAUUGCAAAGUUUUCCAUGUCNNNNNNNNNNNNNNNNNNNNNNNNNNNNNNNNNNNNNNNNNNNNNNNNNNNNNNNNNNNNNNNNNNNNNNNNNNNNNNNNNNNNNNNNNNNNNNNNNNNNNNNNNNNNNNNNNNNNNNNNNNNNNNNNNNNNNNNNNNNNNNNNNNNNNNNNNNNNNNNNNNNNNNNNNNNNNNNNNNNNNNNNNNNNNNNNNNNNNNNNNNNNNNNNNNNNNNNNNNNNNNNNNNNNNNNNNNNNNNNNNNNNNNNNNNNNNNNNNNNNNNNNNNNNNNNNNNNNNNNNNNNNNNNNNNNNNNNNNNNNNNNNNNNNNNNNNNNNNNNNNNNNNNNNNNNNNNNNNNNNNNNNNNNNNNNNNNNNNNNNNNNNNNNNNNNNNNAUGACAGUCAUUAAUUGAUAUAUAAACUAGAGCAAUUUUGUCACGACAAAGACAUCUCAUGUCGGCAAUGUUACUGCUCGGAAUCACGGGCACGUAUUCAUGAAAUCAAAAGAUAAGUGUUUAAGAGCAAUGGAUAUGUCCGCAAUAUGCUUUUUCUUUUAUUCGAGACUUUAUAUAUAUGGUAUAAGUGAGAAGUUCAAUUAAACCACACAUGAUUGAUUAUGAUAUAAGAUGAUAUAUUUAAUAAGUUAUCAUAGUUGGUACGUAAUUAUAUAUAGAUUUAAAGUGAAUAAAGCUCAAUUUACCCCCCUCAACUUGAAAGCAAUAUUUAUUUUUUAAAAUAUCAAUUUUUUUUUAUAUCCAUUGAAUUUGAAUGAAUAGAACAAAAAGUUUAAGUUUUCAUACUUUAAAUAUUUCCAACAAAUAAAAAUUAUUUAAAAAAUUUUAAACUAGAAAAAAUAUUUAAAAACAUAAUAAUUAUUAUAAAAUAUAUAGUGUUUUAUCCUUAAUUUAAAAAAUAAUUAAACGAAAAUUUUGAUUACAUAAAUAUUUUUUAUUUUUUAUUUAAUUAUUUCUUAAUUGUAUUUUACCUAAAUAAAUAUUCAUUAUAUUUUGAUUUAAAUUGAAAUUCUUUUUAGCAGUAAACUGAGUUUUUUUUGUUCUUUUGUUGUAAAUUGAAGGAGAUAAAUUGUAUUAAAAUUAAUUUUUUGUAUAAACUAAAUAUUAUUUGCAAAUUUAUGGGACAAAUUGUGCUUCAUUCCAUUUAAAACUAAAAUAUCUGUUUUUUUAUUAAAAAUAAAAUAAAAAGAUGCCUUGCAAGUUGCCAUUAUAUUUCACUUUUUUAAAUAAAAAAGAAAGGGCUUUUGACAAAAAUAAUGCUCUCCAUAAAACUAUUUUCCAAUCUAAUGCUAUUUGAAAACUAUUUACCAAUCUAAUGUUUGUACUCAAAUGAAGAGAGAGUGUUGCAUUAAAACCACCAAUUUAGCUAGUGGUUUCAGUACAAUAGAAAAAGUAAUCCAUAAUGACAAUCAGUAAAACGUAGUUAUAUGAAUAAAUAAUAAUUUUAUUUUGUAUUGAGACCACCAAUCCAAUUGGUGGGUUCCAUACGAAAUGAAGAUUCCAAUUUGUCUUUUCACUAAAACACACAAUUCAUUUAGUGGUCUUCGUGCAGCUAUGAAAUGUGACCAUUAGUCAACAAAAAGUACAUGGAGAAAUAGUGUUUUGUUAAUAGUCCACCAGAUUGAUUAGUGGUUUCAAUAAAAAAAUAUUUAUUCACUCAAAUUAGUUUUUCACCAAAACACACAUAUAAUCUGAUAGUUUUGGUGCAAUACAUUUGUUACGUGCAACGAACUAGACGUUGGAUUUCAUUUCGAGGUGCAAAAGUUGAAACUGUAAUAAUUAUUCGAUAUCUUUUUAUCUUAUCUUAUAAUUACCUAAUCUAAUUGAAUAAUAAAUUUUGCUCUUAUUCCAGAAUAAUUUUUUAACACAGGCAGAUAGGCUCCAACAUAUAUAUUACAAUUCAACAUCAUCAACAUUCCGUCGAUAAAUUAUUUGGCCUAUUCGGUGCAAUGAAUGAAGAAAUUCGUACCGAAACUCAUCUUAUGCUUCAACUUGCCCCUCCAUCUAUAGAGUUUCCUCGUGUUCAAACACCAAAAGAGCUAUAAAGGCGAAUGAGACGUGAAAUGGCAUCUAAACAUAUUCCAAUUCAAACCCUGCAAGUAGACGAUACACCUCAAGUCCCUUCCUCUAUAACAUGUAACUAUUAUGAACGUUAUCACGUUAAUAUGUCCAACACAUCAUCUUCUGCACCGCAACCUGAGUGGAGUGUACCAUCUGUAACAUUAGAAAUAUCAUUCAAUAUUCAUUACACUCCGAUGAUGGCAACCCAGCAAACUCGUACUUCUUUCUCCAAAAUACGCGAGGCAAUGUCAUUUCAAUAUACAAUACAUGCUUUCAAUACUUCUAUGAUGUCUUUCGGCGUACGUGAUGAAUCUACAUCUCAUGCUAGGCACUCAUUUAAUGAGUUCUUUGAGAUGAUGAUGGUACCCGAGCAAUAGACUCAUCUAACAUUUUCUAGUCCGCAACAACCAUUGAAUGUGGUUCAAGCUUCUCACAUGAGUGUCGAUAUAAAUAUUGAGCAUUGAGAAGAAUAUCAAGGUAUUAGAAAAGAUGCAAUAGUCGAAAUCCACGUCGUAAUAGGAGGCCCUCAAGGUGUGGUAUAGGAAGACUUGUGGGUAGACAUUAAUAUGAUUAAUUUUCCAUGUAUUAGUUCUUAACAAAUUUUUAAUAUCAUAUAAGUUCAACUCGAAGCACUUUAUUACUCUCAGUAAUUUUUUACUGUGCGAGGAAACUUAUGUUGUUAUUACUUAACUUGAAAUAAUUGUUAUCCAAAACCACUAGAUCAUAUGUGUGUUUUGAUGAAAAAAUAUUGAGUAAAACAAUUUUUUUUAUUGAAACCACUAAUUAAUCUGGUGGAAUCUUAACAAAAUACUAUUUCCCAUGUACUUUUCACUGACUAGUGGACACAUCUCAUAGUUGCACUAAAACCACCCAAACGAAUUAUGUGUUUUAGUGAAACGGCAAAUUAACAACUUAAAAUUUUCAUUUUGUAUUAAAACCACAAAUUGGAUUGAUGGUCUCAAUAUAAAAUAAAAAAUUAUUGUUUAUUCAUAUAACUAUUUUUUGCUGACUGUUUAUUAGUACGAAUUACUUUUUCUAUGCACCGAAACCAUCAACUUAAUUGACGGUUUUAGUGUAACACUCUUUCUCCAUGUCAGGAUAAAUAUUAAAUUGGCAAAUAACUUUAAAGUGGCAUUAAAUUAGAAAAUAAUUUUCUGAAGAGCAUUAUUUUCGUCAAAAGCCAAAAAAAAAAAAAGGAUAAUUGCUCCCUGUCGAUUCACAAGCUGAAAACUCAAGCAUAUCCUUAUCCGAAUAUGCGCACGUGAAUAUAAUGCAUUUGUACAAAUCCACAACUUGGAUUUCAUUUUGCUUUUUUCUCAUCGAAUUUUAUCCUCCACUCACAAGAUGAUAAAAAGAAUCUCGCUAAUGAAAUGAAAAAUAUAAAAAUAGAAAUAAAAAAUGUCUUGGUCAAAUAUUUUUUAUCUUUUUAUUUGGUAUAAAUAAUUUUGAAAUGUUUAAUGAACUCGAAAGUCAUGUAUAUGAAUAUAAUUUUUAUUCCAAUAUUUAGUAUGUAGAAUUAAAUAAAAAUUGAGAUUACAUUCAUAUAUUUAGUUAAUAAAAAUAGUGGAAAGAAUAAAAAAAAUCAAAGUUGUCUUCUCUAUUCUUUCCCGUUAUAUUGCAUUUCUUUUUUAUCGAUAACUUAUCAAAUUUGUCUGAUUAAUAAUUCGUACCAGUUGGGUCUUGUAUAAAAAUCCUAUAUUUAAUUUAUUAUGGGUCUUGUAUAAAAAUUAAGGGUAAUGUAGUUAAUUUAAUCAAUAAUUUAUUGUAAUUUAGACAAAUUUCAUGAUUUUAUUAAGAAUUGUGAAAUUUCAAAUAUGAUAAGUAUUAUGGAAUAGAGUUAGUAUUAAGGUCUUAUAUUAGUCCAAUGGUGAUAGUGGGGGAUACAUAUAAAGCAUAAUCUGAAAAUUAUAGGAGUUAGUCUGAUAUUAUAUGAAAAUUAUGCUGUUCAAUUUCAUCUUUCAAUUCAUAACCCAAAACCCAGACCCUGUCACACCUAAAGUCCCUAGUAACUGGAGUUCCUUCCUUUAACACAAUUGCGUUGCACAUUUUUGUUUUCUUUCUUCAUGAGAGCUGCAGCGGCUUCCCCAUUCUCUCCAAAAAGCUCUGGCCAUGAGCUUUUACCUGUAAAUGGAUGUUUGAAAUUAAGAAAUAAAAUUUUUUGUAAUAUCAACCCUACAAACUUUAAGGAUAAGCAUUGUAAAUACAACAAAAUAAGCAAUUUGUCUUAACUUAAACAUCACAAUCUCAAUUGCAAAGUUUUCCAUGUCAAAGAUUUUAUAACAGUCAUUAAUUGAUAUAUAAACUAGACCAAUUUUGUCACGACAAAGACAUCUCAUGUCGGCAAUGUAACUGCUCGGAAACACGUGCACGUAUUCAAGAGAUCAAAAGAUAAGUGUUUAAGAGCAAUGGAUAUGUCGGCAAUUUACUUUUUCUUUUAUUCGAGACUUUAUAUAUAUGGUAUAAAUGAAAAGUUCAAUUAAAUCACACAUGGUUGAUUAUGAUAUAAGAUGAUAUAUUUAAUAAUCAUCAUAGUUGGUACUUGAUUUAAAGUGAAUAAAGCUCAAUUUACCCCCUCAACUUGAAAGCAAUAUUUAUUUUUUUAAAAUAUCAAUUUUUUUAAUGUCCAUAGAAUUUGAAUGAAUAGAACAAAAAGUCUAAGUUUUCAUAAUUUAAAUAUUUCCAACAAAUAAAAAUUAUUUAAAGAAUUUUAAACUAGAAAAAAAUUAUUUAAAAACAUAAUAAUAAUUAUAAAAUAUAUAGUGUUUUAUCAUUAAUUUAAAAAAUAAUUAAACGAAAAUUUUGAUUACAUAAAUAUUUUUUAUUUUUUAUUUAAUUAUUUCUUAAUUGUAUUUUACCUAAAUAAAUAUUCAUUAUAUUUUGAUUUAAAUUGAAAUUCUUUUUAGCAGUAAACUGAGUUUUUUUUGUUCUUUUGGUGUAAAUUGAAGGAGAUAAAUUGUAUUAAAAUUAAUUUUUUGUAUAAAUUAAAUAUUAUUUGCAAAUUUAUGGGACAAAUUGUGCUUCAUUCCAUUUAAAACUAAAAUAUCUGUUUUUUUAUUAAAAAAUAAAAUAAAAAGAUGCCUUGCAAGUUGCCAUUAUAUUUCACUUUUUUAAAUAAAAAAGAAAGGGCUUUUGACAAAAAUAAUGCUCUCCAUAAAACUAUUUUCCAAUUUAAUACCAUUUGAAAACUAUUUACUAAUCUAAUGUUUGUCCUCAAAUGGAGAGAGAGUGUUGCACUAAAACCACCAAUUGAGUUAGUGGUUUCAGUGCAAUAGAAAAAGUAAUCCACACUGACAAGCAGUAAAAUAUAGUUAUAUGAAUAAAUAAUAAUUUUUAUUUUGUAUUGAGACCACCAAUCCAAUUGGUGAUUUCAAUACGAAAUGAAGAUGUUAAGUUUUCAAUUUGUCUUUUCACUAAAACACACAAUUCAUUUAAUGUUCUUGCUGCAACUAUGAGAUAUGACUACUAGUCAACAAAAAGUACAUGGAGAAAUAGUGUUCUGUUAAUAGUCCACCAGAUUAAUUAAUAGAUUCAAUAAAAAAAUAUUUAUUCACUUAAAAUAUUUUUUCACCAAAACACACAUAUAAUCUGGUGGUUUUGGUGCAAUACAUUUGAUAUGUGCAACGAACUAAACGUUGGAUUUCAUUUCGAGGUGCAGAAGUUAGAACUGUGAUAAUUAUUCGAUAUCUUUUUAUCUUAUCUUAUAAUUACUUAAUCUAAUUGAAUAAUAAAUUUUGCUCUUAUUCCAUAAUAUUUUUUUAAUACAGGCAGAUGGGCUCCAACAUAUAUAUUACAGUUCAACAUCAUCAACAUUCCGUUGAAAAUUAUUUAGCCUACUCGGUGCAAUGAAUGAAGAAAUUUGUACCGAAAAUCAUCUUAUGCUUCAGCUUGCCCCUCUAUCUAUAGAGUUUCAUCGUGUUCAAACACCAAAAGAACUAUAGAGGUGAAGGAGACGUGAAAUGACAUUUAGACAUAUUUCAAUUGAAACCCUGCAAGUAGACGAUACAUCUCAAGUCUCUUCUUCUAUGACAUAUAACUAUUAUGAAUGUUAUCACGUUAAUAUGUCCAACACAUCAUCUUCUGCAUCACAACCUGAGUGGAAUAUACCAUCUGUAGCAUUAGAAAUGUCAUUCAAUAUUCAUUACACUCCGAUGAUGGCAAUCCAGUAAACUCGUACUUCUUUCUCCAAAAUACGUGAAGCAAUGUCAUUUCAAUAUACAGUACAUGCUUUCAAUACUUUUAUGCUGUCUUUCGGCACACGUGAUGAAUCUACAUCUCAUCCUAGGCACUCAUUUAAUGAUUUCUUUGAGAUGAUGAUGGUACCAGAGCAAUAGACUUAUCUAACAUUUUCUAGCCCAUAACAACCAUUGAAUGUGGUUCAAGCUUCUCACAUGAGUGUUGAUAUAAAUAUUGACUAUGGAGAAGAAUAUCAAGGUAUUAGAAAAGAUGCAGUACGUCGAAAUUCACGUCGUAAUAGGAGGCCCCAAGGUGUGGUAUAGGAGGACUUGUGGGUAAACAUUAAUAUGAUUAAUUUUCUAUGUAUUAGUUAUUUAAAAAUUUUUAAUAUCAUAUAAGUUCAACUCGAAACACUUUAUUACUCUCGGUAAUUUUUAACUGUGUAAGGAAACUUAUGUUGUUAUUACUUAACUUGAAAUAAUUGUUAUCCAAAACCACUAGAUCAUAUGUGUGUUUUGAAGAAAAAAUAUUGAGUAAAACAAUUUUUUUUAUUGAAACCACUAAUUAAUCAGGUGGAUUCUUAACAAAAUACUAUUUCUCCAUAUACUUUUUACUGACUAGUGGACACAUCUCAUAGUUGCACUAAAACCACCAAAUUGACAGUUUAAAAUUUUCAUUUUGUUUUAAAACCAACAAUUGGAUUGAUAUUCUCAAUACAAAAUAAAAAUUAUUGUUUAUUCAUAUAACUAUUUUUUGCUAAUUACUUAACAGUAUGAGUUACUUUUCCUAUUGCACUGGAAUCAUCAACUUAAUUGACGGUUUUAAUGCAACACUCUCUCUUUCCAUAUCAGGACAAUUAACAAAUAAUUUUAAAAUGGCAUUAAAUUAGAAAACAGUUUUUCUGAAGCGCAUUAUUUUCGUCCAAAAAAAAAAAAAAAAAGGAUAAUUGCUCGCUAUCGAUUCACAAGCUGAAAAGUCAAGCAUAUCCUUAUCUGAAUAUGCGCGCGUGAAUGUCAUGCAUUUGUACAAAUCCACAACAUGGAUUUCAUUUUGCUUUUUUCUCAUCGACUUUUAUCCUGCACUCACAAGAUGAUAAAAAGAAUCUCGCUAAUGAAAUGAAAAAUACAAAAAUAGAAAUAAAAAAUAUCUUGGUCAAAUAUUUUUUUUAUCUUUUUAUUUGGUAUAAAUAAUUUUAAAAAGUUUAAAGAACUCGAAAAUCAUGUAUAUUAAUAUAAUUUUUAUUCCAAUAUUUAGUAUGUAGAAUUAAAUAAAAAUUUAUAUUACAUUCAUAUAAUUAGUUAAUAAGAAUAGUGGAAAGAAUAAAAAAAUCAAAGUUGUCUUCUCUAUUCUUUCCCCUUAUAUUGCAUUUCUUUUUGAUCGAUAACUUACCAAAUUUGUCUGAUUAAUAAUUUAUACCAGUUGGGUCUUGUAUAAAAAUCCUAUAUUUGUUUUAUUAUGGGUUUACUCUCUGUGAUAUAAUGAAUAAAACCGACCAAUUUUAUACAAAUUUACUGAUCAAUUGCUGAUUAUUUUUCUACAUAUUACUGACGAAAUAAUUUAUUUAUGAAAAUUAGAAAUUGAUAGGAAUGACCAUUUCAUGACAAAGCACCAAUAAAAUUAACGAUAAAAUUCCGACAAUUUACCGAUAAAACUUUUCCGACUAAAUUAGUAACGAAUUCUAUGAUAAAUAAAAUUCAUGUUUAUCGGUAGAAAAUAUAAAUUUAGCGGCAAAAUAGCUGUCAAUAAUUUACCCUCAGAAUGAUAAUUGGUAGGUACUAAUUUAGCGAUAGGUACUAAUUAUGUGUCAGCAAUAGGUAACCUAAAUUGCAAUAAAAUUUUCAUGAUCUACCUACUGAAUUUUCUGUGGCUAAUUUUUUAUUUUUUUUUAGUGAAGUCUAAUUAAAAUACCCACUGAUAACAGAUUUUUACAUUGAAAUUACUAUUAAAAUAAAGGAAUUAUAUUCAAUUAUCUUGUGCAAUUCUUCAAACUUCAGAACAUUAUUUGAAAUUUCUUGCAAUAGUUGUACUUAGACAACUCCUCAACCAAUUUUUUUAAUAAACAAGUGCAAGUAAAUUAUGGCUUUAAAGUUUAAGAUUAAAUAUAAUCAAUAAAAUUAAUUAUUACAUUACAUGUAAUAUAAAAAAAAAUUAAAUUUCAAAAUAAAUCCCUUUUUCCUUUUAAAAACUUUGACAUGUCACACGUAUACAGCACUGAAAUCCCUUUGUGAAGAAUGUUCUUUUAACUUUCAUUUUCCUUUUAAAUAUUUCCGUAGUGUAGAACCAAUGAAAAUUUGAAGUAAUAAAUGAAUGAUGAUAAAGUUUAAUAAAAUUAUCCAAAUGAAUUUGAACGUUCUUAGGUUUAUCAUAUUAUUAAAUAUAAAUUAAAAGCUCAAUCACACAUUCAUAAUUCUUUCUUCUUUAAAAUGAUGAAAUCGUUGCAUGGAGAGAAAUGACUAAAAAUAAUGAAAUUAUUUAAAAAUAAUGUAAAUUCUAAUUUUCAGAAAUAAAAGUAAUAAAUAAUGACGUAGAUUGAAUAGAUCAAUUAUUAUUUAAAUAUUUUUAAAUUGCAAUAGCAAUUAUUCAAUCAAUGAAAUUACUAAUACAAUCCUUCGUGUAUAUAUUGAAGGAAACUUUUAUUUUAUUAUAAUUGAAAUCAUUCCAUGAUUUAUUUGAAGAUACAGUAAAACUGCAUUGCCCUAGGUAAUAAUAGGAACUUGAACCACCACACCACAUUCAUUAACCCAAACCCAGACCCUGUCGCACCUAAAGUCCUUAGUCACUGGGGUUCCUUCCUUCAACACAAUUGCAUUCACAUUACUGUUCUCUUUCUCUAUGAGAGCUGCAGCAGGUUUUCCAUUCGCCCCAAGCAGCUCCGGCCAUGAGCUCUUACCUGCAAAUUUUCAAUUUUUCAGGACAUACACAAAACCAAAGUUAAAAACAAAUAAACUCAGUAAACUAAUAAAUUACCUGGUGGACAUAUAUCAGCCAUUGUCUUUGCUCUAUUGGUAUCUUCCUCUCUUCCUUUCUACUAAGUGUGAAGAAAACUGAAGCUAGUGAUGGAUUUAUAUAGAAGCUUUUUAAUUUUUAGCAGGAGAUUUUUUUUUUUUUUUAUUUAGUGGUGGACAAAAAAGAAAUGUUUUAAAACGUGGGCCGCUAAUUUUAUUGGUUACUUCGUAAAAUAAAUUUAAAAAAAAAAAAAGAAAGAAAGGGAAAACAGAGACCCAAAAUGUUUUAUUGCUAUUGCUAUUUCUUUUAAGAGAGAAUUUAGGCCCACUAAAUAUUGAUGUUUCUGCAGUAAAAGUUACACUAUUUUAUAAACUAAACCUUUCACCUCCAAACCUUGCGUGUGUGAGUAUUAAAAGCGAUCUGACAGCCCUUUAAAUUGCAACACAUGCAUUGUCUCUUUAGUUUAAAAAUGUCAUAAACUUCAUUGCUCAUUAAAAUAAAAAAUAUCAACGUUAACUUCUAAGAGAUUAUCAUCUUUUCAUAUAAAAACCCUUUCCUCUUUUUAAAAAGAAUGGGUUUUGCAAAGAGUAUGAAUCCAUUGUUUAAAGUUUAAAUCUCUCAAAAUUCUCUCUUCAAUCCCCCUUUUUUUUUCAUCUUUUUGCUUGAAGAAAAAUUUUUUAGAGAAAAGAAAAUCUUAUAAUAACAUUUUUUGAAGAACAAUUCUGAUCUUUAUAUAUGUUUUCUAAAUCCGUUUUCUGUUCUUCCUGUGUUUAUAUUUGCAUUUCUCUCUGUCUAUAUAGAUUAUGUAAUCUGUUGUAGACAGACUCUUUAAUUGAAAAUUUUUUGUGUAGUAGCUUAGGUGAAAAGCUCCGGUGUAAUAGGUUAUCAAGCGACCCUCUCCUUGUGUGAGAUUCUAAUGUCUUAAUGUAAGUUUCUGUUCUCUGCAAAAACAGAAAGGGUUAAGGUUGACUAGAACCUUUGGAAAAUCUAGUGGGAUACAGGUCAGAUCUAGGUGUUGAUCUAUUUUCUUGUAUUGUUGGUUUGUCUCUUAUCCUUAAAAAGAGAUAACAUAGCGAAAGAUUUCAAUAUGAGUCUUGGUGAGUAGAUGUAGGCAAGUUAAUGCCGAACCACUAUAAAUCUCUGUGUUUAUCUUUUUCUUUAUUUUCUGAAGUUCUGCUUGAUUAUAUUCUAUUUACACAACUGUCAAUUUGUUCAGAAAUGCAAAGUUGUUAAUGAGUUUCUGAUUGUAAAUGUGAAUAAGCUUUAUCUCUAUGGAAUAUUAGAACUCUGGAUUUAUGUAUUGUGAAUAUACCAAGUUCAAAUCUGCCUUUCGACAUUCAGUAUAAAUCACAAUAUAUGUAAUAAUCAGUUUUGUAAUCUUGUUUAAAUCUUUGUGAACCAAUUCUACAGUGCAAUAACUGUUUUUCAUAGAAUUUUUUUAAAAUAGGAAUAAGCUUUGUGAAGUUGUUCUAAUUGUAAUAGUUGUUCUUCACAGAGUCUUUCUAAUUUUGCUUAAAGUUUCCAGUUCUAAAAUGCAAUAACUGUUUUUCACAGAAUCUUUUUAAAAUAACAAUAAGCUUUGUGAAGCUGUUCUAAUCGUAAUAGAUGUUCUUCACAGAGUCUUUCUCAACUUGCUUAAACUUUGUGAAGUAGUUGUAAAUGCAAUAACUAUCCUUCACAGAGUUAUUCUAAAAUUGCUUAAGUUUUGUGUAGCAGUUCCAAAUGUAAUAACUGUUUUUCACAGAGUCCUUCUAAUCUUACAAUAAGCUUUGUGAGGAAAUUUUAAACUUGAUAACUAACCCUCACAAAUGCUUUCUAAUUUCGCUGCAACAGAAUUCUGAUUUUUAUUUUUUAAAGUUAAAUUUUUAGAAAACCCAAUUCACCCCUCUUAAAUUGUGACACAUAUAAACGGGACCCACAUAAUAUCAUCCUUACAAAAGGAUAUGCACGGUAAUUACAAUAAAAUGAGAAAUUUGUCUUUAACUUAAGCAUCCAAUCUCAAUUGCAAUUGAAAUUUUGCACGUGACAGAUUUUAUGAAAAUCAUUAAUAUACGAACGAGAGCAAUUUUGCCGGGACAAAGACAUUUCGUGGGGCCAAAUUAACUGCUUGGAUACACGUGCUCAUAUUCAACAGAUGAAAAGAUAAGGUGCCGUUUGUUUUGGAAUAAUUUUUUAUUUUUUAUUUUUUCCUUUGAAAGAUAAAUAAAAUCGGAUUGUUUAAAUUUUUUUUUUUUUUUGCUUUUAGAAAAUUAAUUUUAAAACAAAAAGUAAAUUUUAUGAAAUCAUAAACAGUGGUUUACAAAAUUGUGUUUUCUGUUUUUAAUUCUACAUUUCUCAUUUUUUUUAUUUUUGUAAAAUUUGUCAUCAUAAAAUUAUUGUUGUCGUUGUUGUUAUUAUUACUAUUAUUUUCUCUAUCUAUAUAAAUCUAAUGUCAUUUAGUAUUAUUUAUUCAUUAUUAUAUUUGGAUAUUAUAUUAUUAUUCACAGUUUUUUUUUCUAUCUCUUAUCUAUUUAGUAUUAUUUUUAUAUUUAUUAUUAUUUUCUCUAUCUAUAUAAAUCUAAUGUCAUUUAGUAUUAUUUAUUCAUUAUUAUAUUUGGAUAUUAUAUUUUUAUUCAACAUAAUAAUCAAUAGUUACUGUAACAUUGAAAUUUUAAAAUUAAAUUGUAAAAUAUUUUUAAUUAUUACAUCUGAAACUUUGGAUUUUUAGAAAAUUUAUUAUUAACUAAAAUCUUUAAUGACUUCAUAAGAGAGAUUUGAUAAUUGGAACAAUUUUUUCCAUUGUAAACAAAAAAAAAAAGAAAAAUAAAUUUUAGAAAAAAUAAUUUUUAAAAAAUAAAUAAUCAAAAAUUAAAAAUUAUUUCAUGUUUCUAAUAAAUAAAAAACUCAAAACAAACAAGUGUUUCAGAUAAAACAUAAAACAUUUAAUAAGUCAUCGAAUUGUAUUCUCCACUCACAAGAUGAUAAAACAAAUCUCACUAAUGAAAUGAAAAACAUAGAAAAAGAAAUAAAGAAAUAUCUUGCUCAAAUAUUUUUUAUCUUUUUAUUUGGUAUAAAUAAAUAAAUAAAUAUAGAAAUAGAACUAAAAAAGGCUUAUUCUUUAUGAUAAUCAUAUGGUUAUCUUCAAUAUUUGCAUAUAAUAAGUAAAAAUAUUCCUAAUUAUUUUUAAUAACUUAAAUAAUAUAAUAUUUAGAGCCUUACGAAUGCAGAUGUGAUUUCAUUUGGGAUAUUACUAAAUAUAUGUUUUUGAAAUUUAUUCAUAAAAAAUGUCAGUUUGACUAUAAGAUUUAAAUUAUUGUCAAUUAUGGUAUAUUUUUAUUUUUGUGCCCAUUUUUAAUUUACAAGGCAUUAAUUUGUUAGUAUUUUAGUGUUUCAAUUUCUUAGUAUUUCCUUUCGUAUUAAUUUCCUAUUUUCAUUAUUGUUUCUUUUUUCUUUUUUUAGUUUGUUUUCCUUUUUUGCUGUCGUUUUUUUUUAGCCAACAUUCUUUUCUUGUUACUCUUUCUGUGUUCCAUGCCGACAUUCUUCACGCCGAUAUUUCACAAGCGAUUAAUUAUUAUUCUUCCUCUUUCUCCUCUUCUUCCGCUUCUUCUUCCGCUUCUUCUUCCACUUCUUCUUCUUUCAAUUGUAGACCUGAACUUUGACUCCAGUGACAAGACUGACAUGAGAAACACCAUGGCAUGUACGCUCUGGGUGAGAGUUCUCAUCGGAAAAUAGAUUUUUGUUCUACAAUUUGAUUUUCAUUUUCGUUUCUAUUUUUCAAUGGAAAAUCAAUUCCUAAUAUGCAAUUUCAUCUCUAUAAAUGUUGUUUUUAUUUUGAAGAGACAAGGUAUGAUUCUCAUUUGUAUUUGAAAAUUACUGAUACAACACAUAUAUAUAUAUAUAUAUACACACUGUAUUUACUUGGUUUGAUCCAAUUUGUUAACUGAUUCGCGUAUGUGCAUAUAUAUAGAGAGAGCACAUACAUCCAUACAAAAUACCAAUUAAAUAAUAGUCUCUGGGUUUCAAAUAGAGUAUGACCCCUCUGCCAUGUAAAAGAAUGCAAUAUUAUCAACCUAUUAUAAAACAAAAGAAAGUUUAAAUAUAAAAACUUUUAAGAUGCUUGACUUGAAUUGCUUCUUUGAAUCUUGAAUCUCGCCAGCAACUUUUCUUGAAUUUUCUUGAAGUCUUGAAGCUAAGAGAGAUAAGAAUGGUGCAGAGAAUAAAAGUAGAAUUGUGUAACUCCUCUUGUGAUAUAGGUUCUUUUAUAUAGACUUUAGUAUUCUAGGUCUUCUUUGAAAUUAAUUAGGAAAAUAAUCUAACUUAGAAAGAAAUCUAAUCAUAGUAUGAAAAGGUCUAGUCUUGUAUUUCUUCCCAUGUAGAACUUCCAUGUGCCUAAAUAAUAUAUCAACUCAAAAGGCAAAUAAUCAUGUGAUCUCAUUCUUUUUUGUUUGCAUAUUUGACAAAUUCCUACGAAAACCUUCCAAUACGAGCUCAAGACCAUAAGGAAGCAAAAUUAAAAUUAAAUAAAAGCAUAAAUAAAAAUCACUAAUUAAUUAAAAACUAUUAAAAAUCCUAUUAAAAACUACAUUAAUAUAAUAAUUACUAUAAAAUAAACCUAUUACUUGCAAAGGAAAUCAGUGACUGUGGAGUUUUUCGUAUGUAUUACUGGUUUUACUAUGUAGGCUGGAUUGUAGCUCAUUUAUGUAGGGUGAAUUAUCAAGGAAUCUUGAGCAAUUACUCAAUCUCAAAAUUCAGUAUAAGGAAUUACUGAAUCGUCCAUGGCAAGUAAAUCAAGUAGCCAACAAACUAACUAAUUCGGCUGUGAAUUCUAGAAUGGGAAUGCAUGUUUUUAUGUUCCUCCUCAGUUAUUGAUUGAGCUUCUUCUAAGGUUAGCAUACAUUUGCAAUAUAUGAACACAUAUGAGUUUCUAUCACUAUACGUCAAUAACACUAACGGAGGAAUAAAUCACACUAACCAAGUUUCAUUGAUCGAAAAUCCAUGCUUAAUUAAGAUUUAAAAUAUCCAACCAAAUAAAGUCACACUCUAUUAAUGACUUUCGUUUGCUUAAAGCUUAUCGGGUUGAUCUAUUUGUACUAAAGGAUUACGCUGGGUCAGAACAUUCUCUCAAGGAUUAUGUACCAUUUUUAGUACUUUUUGCAUAUCAACUUUUUUAGUUAUUAUGUUUAAUGUGUUUUUGGACUAGAUUUUUUCUUUCACUUAACAUUCUACAGUUAGGUUGGAUAUAGUGGAGGCCUUAUUAGCUCGGUUUUACGGCUGGUUUGUUCAUGUUUUUCCUAAUAUUAUAUAAUAAAAUAGAUUUAUUUGCCAAUCAAAGCAGAAAUUUGGAGUAAUAAAUAAAUGAUGAUAAAAUUUGAUAAAAUAGAUUUAUUUUCCUAAUAUUAUAUAACGAAUUUGAAAAUUUUAGUAUUUUAUAUUAUUAAAUACAAAAGCUCGACUUGACAUUCAUAAUUUUUUUUCCCUAUAAAAUGGUGAAACCAUUGCUAGGAGAGAAUGGAAAAAAAAAAAAAGAUUAUUUAAAAUUGAUCCGUAUAAGCUUUAAAUUUCAUAAAAGAUAAUCAAUAAUGAGGUGAAUUGAAUAGAUAAGUAAUUAUUUAAAUACUUUUAAAUUACAAUAGCAAUAAUUCAUCUAAUAUUCAUUCAAUGACAUUACUAAUACAAGCCUUCAUAGAUAUUGAAGGAAAUUUUUAUUUCAUUGUAAUUUAAAUCAUUCCAUGAUUUAUUUGGAGAUGAAGUAAAACUACAUAACAUUAGCCAUUAAUAGGAACUAGAAUGACCACACCACAUUCAUCCACCCAAACCCGGACUCUGUCCCACCUAAACUCCAUAGUCACUGGAGUUCCUUCCUUCAACACAAUAGCAUGCAAAUCUUUGUUCUCUUUCUCUAUGAGAGCUGCAGCAGCUUUCCCAUUCUCCCCGAGCAGCUCCGGCCAUGAGGUCUUACCUGCAAUUUUCAAUUUUCUUGUAACUUUCAUGUCAUACAAAAAAUCGAAGUUAAAAACAAAUAAACUCAGUAAAACUAAUAAAUUACCAGGUGAACACAUAUUAGCCAUUAUCUUUGCUGUAUUGUUUAUCUUCCUCUAUCCUUUCUCACUGAAUUUGAUGAGUAACUACAGAUAAUGGUGGAUUUAUAUAGAAGCUUUCAAAUUUUUAAAAGCAGAUUUUUGCUAUUUAAAAAAGGAAAAGGACAAAAAAAAAAAAAAAAAAUGUUUUAAAACGUGGGAAAAACGUGGGCUGCAAAACGAUUGCCGAAUAAUUAUCCAUUCUAUCUAUACUAAGGGAUAGAUAUUCACUUAAAAAAAAAAAAAAAAAAAAUAUAUAUAUAUGAAUGUUUUUUUUAAGGAGAAGUGAAAAAGACAAGGAUUUUUUUUAUAUAUAAUUUUUGUUCUUUUUUUUUUUUUUUGAUUUAUACCACCGGUAUUCUCAAGCCCACUAGGCUUCGAUUACAUCCGGCUUGAGUAUUACAGGGCCCACAUAGGAAGCGACUCUCCUAACGUGGCAAUUUCUAUAUCCAAGACUCAAACUCGAUAUCUUGGAUAAGGAAGAAGGAAUUUCAACCACUCCAUCGAAAUCAACGUUGAUUGUACUAAAUUUUUUUUACAAAGUUAUGCCAAAGAAAAUAAUUUUAACGAUUAGGCCUACUAAAUAUUUAAAUAAUUUAGUAUUUAUAUUUAAAAUUAUAAAUUAAAUUAAAUUAACUGAAAUGAUUCAUAAUUAUCACACAUUUACAAAAAUAAGUAUGAUAAUUUUUACGGAUUGGAUUGAAUAUAUGGAUUUGCAUAGUUAACCCGUUACUCAAUUCAAUCCAUAAAUUAUAAAAAUGAUCUGCCCUACCCAACUCAUUAUAUUUUUAAACCCAUCUAAUUAUGCUCGAUUGGGUUGAUUUAGAACGGGAUGUGCAGUCCUAGCAAAGAAAUCAGAAAAAAGACAAAUUGGGAACCCCUUGAAUCUCUCAUCUAUGAUAUACAUGGAGAGCAUAUAUUGAACCUUUAGAGGCCAAAUACAUAAAUUGCCUGAACUUACACCAAAAAGUCUUGUGGCUCCCUCAAUUUUUAAAAUGACCUUAUGACUCCUUAAGCUUUACUUUUUUUUUAAUAAUUGCACACUUUGCCAUGCUAAAAAAUGUAAAUUGGAAUGCACGCGCCAUAGGGAGAGUGAUGGAUAAAGAAGUGCCCAACGUGGACUCUUCCAUAGCAUAUAAUUUGAUAAUGAAAAACUAUUAUAGGACCCACCAAAAAUUAACCUUAAUUAUCAAUAAUUCUUGUUAACAGAGUAGUACUUUAACGCUCUAUUUCUCUUCUUUCCUUCAUUAUCUGAACGUAAAAACACAAAAAAUGCAUAUCAAAUCCUUCAUUUUGAAUGCUUGUUUUCUAUUCAAAUAUAUGAGUUUUAUUUUUUCUUUCGAUUUAUGACAGCAAAGCUUGUCAACUUGAUAUUUCUCUUUGAGAAUUUUAGUUUUUUCCAAAUCAUCACUACCAUCUCUAGUAUCAAAACCAUCAAACAUGGUUAAUCAAUUUGGGUUUUUUACACACAAAUAAAUUCUCAAUUAAACUAAACUCCACUUAGAAAUUUAAAAAUUUGCUCAAUUAAUUAUCAAUUACUAAUUUAUUUAUAGUUGAGAAUCAAAAAUCAAAGUUAGAAAGUUUGAGUUUGUAAGAGCACUGGAAAGCUAUUGCACCUAAAAUAACACUGUUAAUAGAAAAUUCAAAUUAUUUUAUGGAAAACCCAUUUGAAUUUAGACCCCAAAAACCCCUAAAUCAAGAGAAAAGAAAAGUAGCCAUGACUUUCAAAACAAAGAAUACGAAGAAGAAGAACAAUAGUGAAACAAAGAAUAUGAAGAAGAAGAACAUCAACUACAAGUAAAAAACCAAAGUUGAAAAUAAUAUUUAGAUUUUUUAAUUUGAGUGUGCUUCUUGUAAAUGAGACUCAUUUGAUAGCACCAAACGAAAACAGUCACUUUGUUGGGGUUGCUUUGUUUGUACAUGUUUCAGCUUCAUCACUUAUAGAGUUUGCUUCAGUUCUGCCAUGGUUGCCCGCCGCUGGUUAUCUUGGCUAUCACUCGCUCCAACAAAUUCAACAUCUCUGUUAAGAAUGAUGAAUUAAUCAAAAGAAUUUUUUAGAUUUAGGAUAAAGUGACUAUUUCGCUUAAGAAUUGAAAGAAAGCAAAGGAAAGUUUUGAAGCAGAGAGAAAGGAAGCGUAGUGCUUGGAGAUGAGAUAAAGAUGAAGAUGGCGACGUUGAUGAUAGGGUAGAUAGGUAGGGGAAUGGUAGAGAUGAGAUCGAUAGAUCUGACGUGGCAAAACUAAUUGCCAUUUGGAAUGCAUUUUUCCACAUCAUCGCGCGUGUAUUACAGUAUUAUUUUUUAUUGUAGCAAGGUGAGUAAAGUUUAAUGUGGAAUUAUUAUAAAAAAGUAAAGUUCAAGGGACACAAAGUCAUUUUAAAAAUUGAGGUGGCCACAAGACUUUUUGGCGCAAGUUCAGGGGCCAAUUUAUAUACUCGGCCAAUAUAUGGAUAAACAUAUAACCACAUGUAUUAAAUCUCUCCCUUUCCAUUAAGUUUGAUGAGAACUAGAAAUAGCGGUGGAUUUUUAGGGAUGAUCAAAUGACCCGAUCCGUUGGAUAUUAGUCUGAUCUGAUUCGAAUUGAGUGGAUAAAAUCCAAUCUAAAUAGCGGUGGAUUGGAUAUGGAUUUUUAAAAUAAAAUCCGCACGGAUAUCCAUCAGAUAUAGAUAUAGCAUAAUUCGAUCCGAAUCUAAUCUGUGAAAGAUAAUUUUAUUUUUUCUUAUAUUUCUAAAAUUGUGGAUUGUAAUUAUAGAUGUUGAGUUAUCUUUAUUUUUCUCUUCCUUCUUUCUUUGAUUUAUAUUUUGAAUCUCUAACUCUUUCACCGUUUUUAUAUUUUUUUUUAAUCUCUGCUUGAAACAAAAGAAUAUAAGUCGAAUGUUACGAUCUAGCAUGAUUUCUUUUGCACUUAACAAUUCUUAAAGUCUCUUCUAGUUGUCAUAGUAUACAAUAAUUUCAAUUAUUGUUAAAAACUUUUGUGUUUUCAAGCACAAUAAAUAUAUUUUUAUAACAUUAUUGUUCUAUUUUUAUUUUUCUUUUAAACAUAAUAAAGAUAGAUGAUAUCCGAUCCGACCCGAUCCGCUCUGACAUCCGAUCCAAUCUGAAUUCGAGCGGAACAGAUGUGGACAUGGAUAUAUGAAUAUUUUCGCGGAUUGGACAUGGAUUUUGUAUAAUUCGAUCCGAAUCCGAUCCAUAAUCAUUCCUUGUAGAUUUAUUAUUAUUAAUCUUAUAUAAUUUAUUAUUAUUUAUUAAGAAAUAUAUUGUAAGAUUUAUUUUUGAUUCAAAACAAAAAUAAAACUCACUAAAAAUAUAUAUAAAAUUAAAAACUAAAAGUUAUGAUAUAAAACGUUAUAUCAGCCAAUCAUAUAACACGUUGAAAGAAUUUUUUUUCUUUUCCAAACAAAGCAACCAUAAAAAAAAAUAUGCGCAUAGAAUUUAGCAAAAAAAAUGAAAAAUAUAUUAAAAUUAUAAACGAUAAUCGUUAUCUAUCCAUAAUAUAUAUUAUUCUAUAAUAUAAUUUCCAAAUAUAAUAAGCCCAAGUUAAGCUUAUCCUUAAUUUUCAAAAAAAUUUCUCACGUGGUAUUUUAUUUUCACUUUAUGUUAUUUUUUUAUAUAUUUAAUAUAUUUUUAUUUUUAUUUUUAUAUUUUAUUGGCUUUGUUGCUUUACACUUUUAAAUAACUUAUUGUGGCAAUUAAAUUUUUUUGAUUAAUUGGUGUUGCUAUUUCCUUAAUUCGUCUAAACCUCAAUAGAACAAUGAUAACAGUAUUAAUAACAGUAUUAAUAACAGCCUUGUCCUUCAUGAUGGAGAAUUCAUUAGUGUAAAAUUACAUUUUUUUAGUGUUUUUUUUUAACUAAUGCAAUAAUAAAAAUUUAUUAUUUCAAUUAACCAAAUAUGGAAACUAAUAUUGAUUUUUCAUAUUUUAGUAAUAUAGAUAGUUUAUGCUAUUAUAUUAUACAUGAAAAAUUAAGUUAAUUAAAUUUAAAUUAUUAUAAAAAAUUUAAAUUGCUUGAUGAGUAAUUUUAUUUUCAUAAAAAUUUGGUUGUUAAAUUGUAACAAUACUUACAUAUAAGUUCUUUCCUUAACAAGUUAGUUAAUUAUAGAAUUUUUUUUAUUUUAUAAUUUCGUGAGCGCUCUUAAAUUUGAAGUAAUAUAAAUUAUUUAUAAUAUUAUAAUUUAUAACAAAAAUCAACACAAUAUUAUAUAUAAAAAUUAGUAGAAAAUCAUUAUAAUUAUCAUUAUCAUUAUAUCAAGGAGAAAUAUUGAGUUUUUGCAAGUGUUAUUUUGACACUUUCUAAGAGAAGGAGACUUUCUAAUAUUUUUGCUUUUGCUUUUGCUUUUAUCUUACUUGACAAAUUUUUCUAAUAUUUCUCUUUUCUUAAUCACUUUUUUCUCUCUCUCUCAUCUAUUAUUCAAUAGUGAUUUGCUCUUCAUUUUUUAUGAAUUUUAACAUUCAAUUAUGACAUUUGAAGAAAUUUAAUUGUUUUGGCUACAUAAUAAAAUAAAAAAAACUAAUUGUCUUUGUAUUCAAUUUUCUAAUCUAUGAUUAUCCUCGCUUAUAUGAUUUUUAUGACUUUUAAAAUAAUGGCUUUUAGAAAUUUUUUUUAUGAGUUCUUAAGCUCUUGACCAUGGUUGUUCAUGUUCUUACUUUUAUUUUCUCUUCUCGGAUUUAUUUUUUUUUCUCUUUUCAGAUACUAUACGGCCGACGCUCUAUUUGAAGAGUGAAACUCUUUAAAAUUUGAGCAUUUGGUAUUAGCUCGAUAGGAAAAAUUGAAGAUUUUGUAGAAAAAAUGUCUCACUUACCUCUCUGAUUUAUGAGUGUUAAACAUAAUAUCUCUUUAAAAAUUAUUCUCUAAUUUUUUACCUUUAUAGCUUUUAAAUAAAAAAUGACUUGAUAUUAAUUCUCUUAUGAUUUUUAAAAAAUAAUAACUCUUUAUAAAUUACCUGUCUCUAAUUUAUGAGUUAUAUGACUUUCAAACACUGACUUUUGGUGUGCUUUCUUUCUUAUUAUGAUUUAUAAAUUUUAUAGCUUUUAUGACUUUAAAAAUAAUAACUUUUAAUACUUUUUAUGAGUUUUACAACUCUUUAAUAUUAUUGUUUAUAUUCUUAUUAUUGUUUUCCCUCUUUGGAUUUGUUUUUUCUCUUAAAAAAAAUUACUGCACAGUCAUGUGAAGCACGAGAGACCGCCUACUAUAUAUAAAAGAGAAACAUGGAGGUUUUGCAAUGUGUUGAUGUGGCACUUUCUUAGAAAAGUGAAACUCCCGAAUAUUUUAGCAUUUCCAUUUAUCUUGCUUGAGAAAUUUUUCAAUAUUUCUCUUUUUGAAUUACUUUUUUCUCCCUCUCAUUUAUUAUUUAAUUAUGAUUUGUCUUCAAUCUUAUGAGUUUUAAAUUAAAUUAUGGCAUUUGAAGAAACUUAACUAUUUUGACUAUAUUUUUAAAAUUUAAGAACAAAAGUUGGAUUACGUAAAAUCAAACUAAAAUAAAUUAAUAGCUUGAACUGAACUAAAAUGAAUAAAAUUAAUUGAUUUUGUAAUGCAUUUUUCUAAACUAUACUUAGGCUUGCUUCUAUUUUGACAUCCUAUGCAAAUUUUUUUUAUUCUUAUAUAUAUAUAAUUAAAGUUUGUUUAAUUCUGUGUAAGAAUAAGAGAUUUUUCGCAUUUAAGAACUUAUCAAUAUCUACAUAUUCUAACUAUUUUACCUAAAUCAUGAUAAAGAUAAAAAAACUUAUAUUUUAAAUUAAUAAGAAUUCAGUUAUAAUGCGAUCCAACCAUUUAAUUUGCUAAGUGCAUGUAACUUCUGCAAAAAAUUUUGAUUUCUUAAAAUUUAAUCAACAAACUUGUUUAACAUCUUAAAUAAAAAUGUUAUACUGUACGUUCACACAAAGCGUGGGAGACCAACUAAGCAAAUUAUAAAACUUUUCAUUUUCUUUAUUUAAUUAUUAAUAACCAUAUAAUAAAUUUAUUUCAUUAAUAAAAAAAACUCUUGGUUUUCUUUCUUUUGCAAUAAUUGAUGAUCCAAAUAAUAAAUUUUUAUAAUAAUAAUAGAACACUAAUUAGAUUUUUCAAUAAUUAAAAACCACAUUAUAAAUUGAUAUAACAUUUUGUUAUUUUAUAAUUUAAUUAUCCUCUCUUUUUUUUUAAAAAUCCUAACUCCCUUUUGGGUUCUAUGUAUAUGAGUAAUAUAUCUAAUAAAUUUAUCACACAAAUUCUUAAUUUCUUUUUUAUGUUCAAAUAUUUUUAGAUAGCAAUAAAAAUUAAUAUCUAGGCACCUAUGAUUAACAAUUCAUAAAAUUUAUUUCUUUUUCUAUUCAGAUAAUUAUAUGCUUUGAGUAAUAAUUUUUAUUUGUAAAAGUAAUAUUUAUAUUUAUUGUUUUAAGUUUAGCUAAGAAAGUGAGUUUAUUUGGCUUUAAUUUGUUAGUGUAGAAUUUUUUUUAUCACUUUUAAAUAUAUAGCAAAAGCUGGAUUAGUAGUUUUUGUCAUCAUAGUCAAAGAAUAAUAAUAAUAAUAAUAAUAAGGCAAUUGACAAAUACUAUCUUUUUAUCAUACUAAUUUAUUUAUAUUUUUUAUUCAAAUUUUAUUUGGUAUCAAUUAUUUAUACGUGUUAAUCCGCACAACGUCCGAACUUACGACUAAUUUAUAUAUAAAGGAGGCUCAUGGAGCUUUUCUUAAUUGAUGACAUGACGCAUCACUUGAAAAGCAAACUCUCUAAAUUUUUAGCAUUUUAUUUUUCCUGAGAAAAUUUUGCCUUUUGAGCUUUUGAAAUUUUAUCAUUCCCUUUUAGUAUUUUUACUUGCAAUUUUAUUUCCUUUUAAUUACUUGAUGUUGACCGUUCUACCUCCUUUAAAUGUUUUACAUUUAAUUUUUUAAAUUUAAUAAUCAUUAUUAUCAUUUUAACCUUCUUAACUGAUGGGAGCGGGUAUGAAGUGGAAACAACCCUUAUCGAAACCAUAUGAGGCAAACUAAAAACAUUAUCGAACAAAUCAAUAAACUGACCUCUUGAAGCGCAGAAUCGCUCACCGGUCUUCUUUUCAGAGAUCUUGGAGUCACCCACGAUCUUCUGCAGUAAUCCCUAACUAUCUCUCUUUUGGAACUCUCUGAGUGGCAGAGAAUAGAAUAACGUGUGUCUCUAUAUUCUUAGGGUUUUCAAAUCUUAUAUUAAAAAAACCUCUCUUCGAUAGGAAGAUAUUUUUUAAUAUAAAAUAAAUUAAAUAAAAAAUUAUUUAAUUAAAAUAAAAUCAAUUAUUUUAAAACUAAAUAAUUUAUCUAUUAUUUAAUACACCCUUAACUUUCCAAAUAAUUAGGGCACUACAGGGACCGCAGGAAUAAAAUAAAUCAGGCUACUAAUUAUAAUAAGAACCUAUGUAGACCAACAUAUUCUUAUUAUAAUUAAUCAUGAAUUAUUCCACUAAAAACUCAUGACUGAACUCCUUAUUUAUUUUACAAUUCCACAACAUAAUAAAAUAAUGUUCCCCACGUUAAGAUUACAGAUGCUGUCAUUUAAAUAACUUACUGACAAUUUAUUUAAAUCACAAUAUAACUUUAAGAGUGUCGCUCAACUUAUUUCAUGUGUCGGAUUCAAAAUCCACCUGCAGGGUUUACACAAUGAAACCUUAUAAGCUUACUUAAAGUGCAUCAUCAAUCUCUAAACCGAGACAUGGAUUCUAUCAUUAAUUAAUAUUUCACAAACACAAAAUAUCUUUGCCCAAUUCACCGAGAAUAUUAUUCCAAUAAUGAAACUCACCCUUUAAUGAAUCAAAGCACAAGACAAUCAAUGUUUGCUCAUAUUAAAAUAAAUCAAGAUUAAGAACAAUAAACAUUAUUUCUAAUGUCCUAGAGAAUAUGUUUAACAGUCAGUACUAAACAUCCAUUCUCUACUUGGUCCAAUUAAAUACAUACAAAAUGUACUAAUCACAAUUAUUAUUCAUAUGCUAAUAACAUUUAUUUAAUGCAAAUUUCCAAUUAAAUACAAAGAAAUAAUUGUCAAUAGAAAAUCAUUCAUAGCUAUACUAUUAAUUAUGCAUGGUUAAUAGUAUAUCUCUAUCAUUAACUUCCUUACACGUUUUAAAUUUAAUUUUCUAAAUUUAAUGAUCAUCGAUACAAUUUAAAAUUGAUAUUAAAAUACUAAAAUAAACUUAUAUUUUGUUUCCAAAUAUUUUAUCUACCUAAUUAAAUUUUGCCAAAUUUCUCUUCUCAUUUGAAAAAUUGAAACUAAGAAACUAAAAUCCCCUUUCCAUUAGAGGAUGAGUUGAUUGCAAUUUCUUUUUUAGAUUGUCAUUUUAUCAUAGACCAAAAAAAUCUACAAAAGAAUUUCUUAAAAAGAGAUGGUGAAAUUUCCUUCUCUUAGCAAAUCAAUUUUCAAGAUUGGUCUCUUACAGUUUAGAAACAAGAAAAUAAGACGAUGAAUAGUCUUAUUCCCCUUUUUUUUUCUUUUAGUUUAUUUGGUUAUCAUUUUGAAGUAAAUUAUCCAGGUAUAAGUUUUUUUUUCCUUCUAAUGAUAAAUUGAAUUUUCCAUGUCAAUAAUAUUUGGGAUCUUUAAAUUCAUUUUAUGGUUUGUAUUACUACAGCAGCAUGAUUCAAAUUAAACUGAAGGACUAGCUAUCUAUUUUUUCUGAUUUUAAUUUAAAAUCAGGUUGACAUGGAAUUAAUGGUUUUGGCUUAUAUACGUUAGAAAAUUAAAAUUCGAUAUUUAUAUAUAGUAUAUAUAAAGAAAAAGUUUGAGAUUCUUUUUUUUACUCACUACUAUAUUUUUUUUAUUUUUUUUUCAAAAUUUCUAAAUUUAUUUUCGAUUUGUUCAAAAAUUUAAUUUGAUGGUUUUACUUCGUCAGUGAAAAAACACUGUGUUUUUUUAUUGCUUUAUUUGUUUUUUUGCUUUGUUUUGUUUUUUUCAAUUUUAUUAUCAUUUUGUAUUUUGCUAAUUUUAGUUUUGUUUUAUUUACUUUUGCAGAGAUUGAAGUGUAUGCAAUAAAAGAUAAUCUAAAUCUGUUUUAUGUAAUAAUGAAUUAAAUAUUACAUUUUAAUAUGUUUCUCUAAUUACAUACUCUCAAGGUAAUCAUAAAUGUCAUUUACUGUCAUUUCAAUUAUAUAUUAUUUCCCUGUAUUGAUAGCAUUUGUCACGUACCCCUUUUGCAGCUUCAUCAGAGCCACGUAACAAGCUCAGUUUGGUAGUGGGACAAUAAAUACUCAUUUACUUUUCCCUGUAUUUAUGCAUUUGUCUACUUAUAGUUCACUUAAUUUUUUUCCCUCAGCAUAUAUCCAUCCACGUGAGCAUGAAGGCAAAUACUGAGAAUAACCAAGCUACACCUGAAUAAAGAUAGAUACACAUGGGAUGUCGUACCACAAGAGGCAAGAGACUUUUAUUGAGAAGAGUUUCAGAUACGAUUUGGUUCAAGUUAUAUCUUAAUUUAAUGUAAUUAAUAAUCUGAAUCCAUGGGCUAACACUUACUCUUGAUGGAAAUAUUAUUUUUCAUUUUUGCAUAAGCAUUUCAUAUGGGAUGAGACUAUUACAACUAUGCUAAAAGUGGUCUGGGAGAAAUUGUAUAUUCUACGGUAUGCUGGCUUCACUUAUAGGAUGUGAAAAAGCAGUAAGAAGCAGCAGUGCAUGUCUCAGGAGAUAUGGGAGAGCUGGCAGAAGGCUUAAGAGGAUUCUACAUUCAAGAGAAAGUGUGAGAUAUUUGCACGAAAUAGGCACAGUGAGACUGGCAGUGACAGAGCAGGACCUUCCCCACACACCGUCGGAUCUAUAUCUGCUAUAGAAUCAUCUCAAUUACUAGUGAGUCAAUUAAUUAGUUACAGUUACAAAAGUGAUGUUUAAUGAAAUGACACCAUAUUAAUAUAUCUUGUAUAAAAAUUCAUUACAGGCUGAAAAAUAUAGUCGUGAGUCCACACCGAUGGAGGUGUUCACUCACACUCACCCAAAGGACCAUGAUGGAAAUACGUUUGUUGACAGAUGUGCAUUGGGCAUCAAUGUAAGUCACAAUGAAGAAUUUUUACAUUUACUUUAUAAUCUUCUCUUACGCAUACAAGUUCAAUAUUUCAAAGCUUGCAACUGCAUUGAUUAAUUAAUUUGUUAUUUUCAAGAGAACCAACUCGCGAGCGUGUUAUUUCUUCUCAGGCUGGGUUUGAAGUUGAGCCCAGAAUUGAUGAGUUAGCACUUUAUCUGGAGGCCGUAGUGGGCAAAAAGAAAAGAAAAGUAUAUGGCAUUGGGUUUGAGGCAUCACAGUAUUACUGCAGCUCAGCGUCUGACACUCCUACAGCCUCCUUAUAACCAUAGCCUGACCACAGUGCUGAGAAGAUUAGUGCACUACGAACUCGUGUUGAUACGUAGGAGAGAUAGCUUGCAGAGCUUAGAGCACAUGUGAUGCGGAUGUCCAGUCAGCAUAGUGGUGGUACUUCUUCCUCUGAUCCUCCGCCUGCUACAGAUCCACAUGUUUGUACAGCUCUGCAGCAGCAACUAUCGUCUACUCUUGAUCCCGAUAUUGCAAACGAUACCUUAGUCACUCCUACCGACACUACAACACAUCCAGCAGAUACUCCUGCCGAUAAUACGAUAAUGGAUCGUGUAGAGGACCGACCAUAUAGAAUUGAUUCCGAACCUUUUUAGCUUUUUGUGAUUGUUUCAUGUUUUGUAUAGUACAUUACAUUCAUAAUUCCAUUCUUACAUUGUUAUUGUGUUGAUGAUGGUGCUUGUGAUUGUGAUGUGUAUAUAUGUCGAUUUUUGACUGGUGGAAAAAAUUAUGGUUUUCAAUAUUAUUAAAUUAUUUUUUUCUAUAAUUAUAUUUUGCAACCGACUGGCGACCGAUCUACAACAAAAUUAUAACUGUUAAAUUUAAAUUUGCGACAGAUCACCAAACAACCACUUUCAACUUUUGCGACCGAUUUGCGAUCGAAACGGCAUAAUUGCGACCAAUUUGCGACAAGAUUUCUGCAGGAAAACAUGACGAAAUUUAGCGACAGAAUUGUAUAAUAUUGCGACCGAACAGUCAAUCGCUAAUUAGUGACCGAGUAGUCAUUCAGUCACAAAAAAAUUUGCGACAAGCACUUUUGCGACCAAUUUGUUGGUGUCGCAAAUUGAUCUCUAAUUUUAGUUAGCGACCGAUUUCUUAGAUUUAGUGACCGAUUUGUCGGUCGCAAUUUAGCUUUUUUUUUUUAGUGUUUAAUUUCUAAUAAUAUUUCCAAUUGCUUCUUUCUAAAAGAAUAAAGUUUUACAUUCUACUUAAUAUACUAUCUCACAUUUACACUUGAAAUUUAAAACAUAAAUAUUAUAUAGACAUGCAAAGUGUAGGUGACUACAUAGUAUAUUUACAAAGGAGAAUUAUGGAGAUGUAUUCAAUAUUGAUCGAUGUGGCCCUCUAUUUGGAGUGUGACUCUCUAAAAUUAGAGUAUUUGGUAUUAACUUAGCCAUAAAAAAUUGAAGAUUUUGUAGAGAAAAUAUGUCUUUUAAACACAUUGACUCUUGAUGUUUCUUAUGACUUUUAUGAAUUUUAAACAUAAUACUGCCUCUGUUCCAUAAUAUUUGUUACAUUUGAGAAAAUAGUUUGUUUCAAAUACUUUUUAUAUUUGUGAUUUUGAGAAGUAAUAAAUAUUUUUUUCAUGUUUACCAUUUGUAUGUGACCAACAAUUAUUACUUUAAUUUAAUGAUUUUCUUAGAGAAUUAAUAUUAAAUUAAGUGUAAUAUAGCCAAUUUACUCAAUAAUUUAUUGUAACUUAUACAAAUUUAAUGGUUUUCUUAAAAGAUGUGAAAUUCCAAUUAUGACAAAUAUUAUGAAACAGAGUAAUAAAUAAUGAGGUGAAUUGAAUAGUUCAAUAAUUAUUUAAAUAUUUUUUUAAAUUAACAACAAUAAUUCAUCUAAAUAUUCAUCCGAUGAUAUUACUAAUAGAAGCCUUCAUAGAUAUUGAAGGAAACUUUUAUUUUAUGAUAAUAUUCCAUAAUUUAUUUGGAGAUAGAGUAAAACAACAUAGCUUUAACCAAUCGUAGGAACUUGAACGACCAUGCCACAUUCAUUGACAAAAACUAAGACUCUAUUGCACCUCAAGUCCGAUGUCACAGGAGACAUUUUAUUCAACACAAUAGCUGCAUUCUACUCUAUUGCACAUUUUCAUUCUCUUUAUCGAUGAGAGCUGCAGCAGCUUUUCUAUUUGCUCCAAGCAGCUCUGUCCAUGAGCUCUUACUUGUAAAUUUUCAAUUUUUAUGUAAGUUUCAUGUCAUAUACAAAAUCAA